UGCGAAAGUAAGACUAUAUCCCGAUGAAUUCCCUAGAAGACAUCUGAAAGGGAUUAAAGAUUUAUCGGUGAUGGAUGGGGAUGCGUCUGAUUAGCUUGUUGGCGGGGUAACGGCCCACCAAGGCAACGAUCAGUAGGGGUUCUGAGAGGAAGGUCCCCCACAUUGGAACUGAGACACGGUCCAAACUCCUACGGGAGGCAGCAGUGAGGAAUAUUGGUCAAUGGGCGAGAGCCUGAACCAGCCAAGUAGCGUGCAGGACGACGGCCCUAUGGGUUGUAAACUGCUUUUAUAAGGGAAUAAAGUGAGUCUCGUGAGACUUUUUGCAUGUACCUUAUGAAUAAGGACCGGCUAAUUCCGUGCCAGCAGCCGCGGUAAUACGGAAGGUCCGGGCGUUAUCCGGAUUUAUUGGGUUUAAAGGGAGCGUAGGCCGGAGAUUAAGCGUGUUGUGAAAUGUAGACGCUCAACGUCUGCACUGCAGCGCGAACUGGUUUUCUUGAGUACGCACAAAGUGGGCGGAAUUCGUGGUGUAGCGGUGAAAUGCUUAGAUAUCACGAAGAACUCCGAUUGCGAAGGCAGCUCACUGGAGCGCAACUGACGCUGAAGCUCGAAAGUGCGGGUAUCGAACAGGAUUAGAUACCCUGGUAGUCCGCACGGUAAACGAUGGAUGCCCGCUGUUGGUCUGAAUAGGUCAGCGGCCAAGCGAAAGCAUUAAGCAUCCCACCUGGGGAGUAC
This 732-nucleotide ribosomal RNA is filed under the name uncultured bacterium. Its description in RNAcentral is "bacterial SSU rRNA". It matches the Rfam family "Bacterial small subunit ribosomal RNA", at positions 150 to 883 of the family's 1533-position model. The record is from RNAcentral.